Molecule: ribosomal RNA, 253 nt
Filed under: uncultured bacterium
Lineage: Bacteria
Description: partial 16S ribosomal RNA
Rfam family: Bacterial small subunit ribosomal RNA
Source: RNAcentral
UACGUAGGGUGCGAGCGUUGUCCGGAAUUAUUGGGCGUAAAGAGCUUGUAGGCGGUUUGUCGCGUCUGCCGUGAAAGCCCAGGGCUUAACCCUGGGUCUGCGGUGGGUACGGGCAGACUAGAGUGUGGUAGGGGAGACUGGAAUUCCUGGUGUAGCGGUGAAAUGCGUAGAUAUCGAGAGGAACACCUGCGGCGAAGGCGGGUUGCUGGGCUGAUACUGACGCUGAGGCGCGAAAGCCAGGGGAGCGAACGGG